Long non-coding RNA from Parus major (Great Tit), 1285 nucleotides. RefSeq lists it as uncharacterized. The transcript has 2 exons. The record is from RefSeq and is a predicted model, not a curated record. NCBI's taxonomy places the organism in Eukaryota, Metazoa, Chordata, Aves, Passeriformes, Paridae.
AAUAAAUUAUGACAAUAUUAAAAUUAUUUUCUGGCAGCCCAGUUAACUGCGCUGGGGACUGUAAAGCCCCUACUGAUUCCAUUUAUGCCUUGUAAUUGCGGUCCACGGUCUCGCUCUAAACCUUUUGGUGUAUAUUGUGUGUAAACUUUUAGCUAAUAGACUUUUUUUUGAAUGGAAGGACUUUUCUCGGUACUUCCUGCCGUAUACAUUUUGUCUCUGAUCUCUGUAUUUAAUGGCCAAGUCCUGGUUUAUGCUUUAUAAUGUGUUGACAAGUUUUCUAACAGACUUUCUGAAAUAAUGCACAUAUAUUCACGUCGGUUAGAAACUCCACAGUAUUUUUAGAGUCGAGUAGAUCUAUAUCCUAAUGCACUGAGAGGGAGUGUAAAUCAUAGAGGAUUUCAUAGCCCUUUCAGUAGUUUUCUGUAUGAAGUAUGAGCAGCGUGGCCUCCAGACGUAACCUUUUAGAAAAAAAGACAGUGCUUUUAUUUUAUGGUGUAAAGUGCUUUUAGCUUCAGGGCUCUGAACGUGAAUGUGGUCAACAAACAGCUCUUGCGAGGGAGUUUGCUCCAGCCUCAGCCCUGCGCCGGGCGCUGUGGGGAGGGAUGCGGGGCCGCCCCCGGCCGCAGGAGCGGCCUGAGCCCCCCCAGAGACACGGCAGCCCCCGCCAGGGUCCUGGGCUCCGACACCCCGCGGAAAGGGGGGGUGGGAUGGCCCCCGGCGCUGCCGGAGAGGCUGAUGAUGGCUGCGGGGUCAAGCCCCGGCGCGUCCGGGGGCAGGGGGCUGAGCUGGCCCCGGCACCGGCGGCAGAGACAGGGCCAGAGGGCACAGCUGGGGCUGAGAGCGCCCCAGGAGAGCUGUGGAGCAAGGGCGACGCACCCCAUCACUGCCCCGCUGCACCCCACAAGCUACAUCUCCUGUGUCUCUGCUUCCACCCUCGCAGCACCUCCGUGACACACCGAGCAUCUCCAGCCCUCUCUGUAGCUCCUGCACGCUGCUGUCCCCUUGCUGGGCUGUACUAACAAACCCAGUGCGUGUGGCAGGGUAUGAAUUUGGUACUUCUAGCUCUUCUGAAGCUCCACACUCAAUGGAAUAUACCCAAGGUAAAGCUACAGCUACCCUGAGGAUUUCACGGGGCACACCUGCAACCCUGACCCACCUGCGUGCUCCUAUACACUGAGAAGAGGCCAGGAACAAGAAAUGACACUUUAGUUAUCUCCAAAGAGGGUGCUAAAUGUGUACGAUAAAGAGAACAUAAAUAAAUAUUUUUGCUAACAGUUUCACAUAA